RNAcentral lists this ribosomal RNA (497 nucleotides) under uncultured bacterium. RNAcentral describes it as "partial 16S ribosomal RNA". It matches the Rfam family "Bacterial small subunit ribosomal RNA", at positions 28 to 507 of the family's 1533-position model. The record is from RNAcentral.
GAUGAACGCUGGCGGCGUGCCUAAUACAUGCAAGUCGAGCGAACGGACGAGAAGCUUGCUUCUCUGAUGUUAGCGGCGGACGGGUGAGUAACACGUGGAUAACCUACCUAUAAGACUGGGAUAACUUCGGGAAACCGUAGCUAAUACCGGAUAAUAUUUUGAACCGCAUGGUUCAAAAGUGAAAGACGGUCUUGCUGUCACUUAUCGAUGGAUCCGCGCUGCAUUAGCUAGUUGGUAAGGUAACGGCUUACCAAGGCAACGAUGCAUAGCCGACCUGAGAGGGUGAUCGGCCACACUGGAACUGAGACACGGACCAGACUCCUACGGGAGGCAGCAGUAGGGAAUCUUCCGCAGUGGGCGAAAGCAUGACGGAGCAACGCCGCGUGAGUGAUGAAGGUCUUCGGAGCGUAAAACUCUGUUAUUAGGGAAGAACAUAUGUGGAAGUAACUGUGCACAUCUUGACGGUACCUAAUCAGAAAGCCACGGCUAACUACGUG